UAAGAUGAAACCACAAUGGCCGCUUUCGAUCGUACCCAGCAAUCUCCUCGACUUAAUUGUCAAUGAAUCUUAACUGUAAAACACUUAACAGUGAAUCAAUUCAACUGUGUUAUGUGCAAUAUUUUUUUAUUAUUAUCUUACGAUCACGGCGAGAGGGAUCUGUGAGAACCAACAAUCAACAUUUCCUUCAAGCUGGUUGCUAUAUGUAUACAGAAAAAAAUUGCCAUAGGCGGGAUUGUGAAGAUUGAAGACGAUGAGUAAAACCGGAUCAGUCAACGAGAAAGAACAGACAACCAGUUUCACCGGGUACCGAAAGGAUGAAUUAAUCAAUUAAUAUAUCGUUUACGAAUGUAAAAAUAUCUACUUUGACUCUUGGUUGUGGCACAGACUUCGUAGUCUCUUGUUGUUGUGGUUUGCAACACAGCAGACGAGACAGUCUCAUCACAGGAUACCACUGUGAAUUGCACGGAUUGCCUGGGCAUAUCCUGACAGUUUGAGGAUACUGCAACCCUCAGGGUUUUACCCCAUGCAGAUUUAGUUAGUGAAUUGUAGCUCAACUCAAUAAGGAGCUUUCGGUCAACUAUAUUUUCCACUUUAUUAAUUGUUGCAUGGGCAGAUCCGUCGUGUUAAACUAAUGGACUGCCCUACCGUCUUCCAGCAGGGCGAUUGAUGGUGUCUUGCCUAUCGCGAAAGAGGUAUCAUUUUCUUUUGUAUUCAUUUAUUGGUUGACUGCGGUUAUGAUUUGGUUUCGACUACAUUGACAAUACAGCCGGGAACCUUCACCUUCUGCAAUUGUCAGCGAGUAUCGCCAUAGAGAGAGACUUUAUCAGAACAAUCAGUUUCAAAGUAGGACUUUUGGCGCGUUUUGGCUUGCAAAGUUGCAAUUGGCCAAUUGCAGAGAUGCGGACGUUUUUAAUUGAAAGACAGAGAAUGGCAAUGUUGCCCGUUGCUUCCAACUUCAAGAUGGCUGCUGGCAUUCGAGAAUCGAGAUACGACGAGAAAUGACAGCAAGUGACAGUUCCCUAGAGUGAUGGAUCAUCUCGGUCUGUACUUCGUAAAGUGUAUUUGCCGAUUCAUGUUUUUACUACCUAAACCAGUUAAAAUACUCCCGAGUCCUGAUUCAAGAUUUUCGUGGUGUUGUGGAAAGGAGAGCUACAGAUGGAAAUGCUAGAUGAGCAUAUUCAGCCUGCAUUUGCGUUUUCAAAAGAGUUCUUGCAAUUGUUCCAUGGUGGUUCUGGACUCCAGGUUUUGUGGUGUUGUGGAGAUUAAGAAUGGACAUGCUGUUUUAACUUUCUUUGAACUAUUUACAAAGCUGAAAAGGUUGAAGAAAAUUAAAUUGUGAAUAAAAUGUUGGGUCUUAAAUAGUGGUAAAUGUGUUAAAUAUCAGUUUGCAAAGGGAGAAUGUGUGAAAGUUUGAAAUUUGUUUCAGUUGAAUAAUUUUCCGGUUUUCGAUCUGAUGUCUAAAUAUGAUGCAUAUAAAAUGUAUUUUUUCAUCAAUAGUACAAGUUAUCUUCAGAGUACAAGCUGACAUCAGAGGAAUUUAAAUUCAUAUCUAUGUGAUUGUGUUUGAUUAGGUAAUGAUUGAAUAAAUGGAAUGCAAAUUAGA
Daphnia pulicaria is the source of this 1606-nucleotide long non-coding RNA. RefSeq lists it as uncharacterized. The transcript has 7 exons. The record is from RefSeq and is a predicted model, not a curated record. Lineage: Eukaryota; Metazoa; Arthropoda; Branchiopoda; Diplostraca; Daphniidae.